CGCCCGUCGCUCCUACCGAUUGGGUGUGCUGGUGAAGUCUUCGGAUUGGCGACCUGGGGCGGUCUCCGCUCUCGGCCGCCGAAAAGUUCAUUAAACCCUCCCACCUAGAGGAAGGAGAAGUCGUAACAAGGUUUCC
This 136-nucleotide ribosomal RNA is filed under the name uncultured Trebouxiophyceae. RNAcentral's name for it is "partial small subunit ribosomal RNA". It matches the Rfam family "Eukaryotic small subunit ribosomal RNA", at positions 1670 to 1804 of the family's 1831-position model. The record is from RNAcentral. Lineage: Eukaryota; Viridiplantae; Chlorophyta; Trebouxiophyceae.